GUGGGGAAUCUUCCGCAAUGGACGAAAGUCUGACGGAGCAACGCCGCGUGAGUGAAGAAGGUUUUCGGAUCGUAAAGCUCUUUCGUUAGGGACGAACGUGCUCUUUGUGAAUAAUGAGGAGUAAUGACGGUACCUAAAUAAGAAGCCACGGCUAACUACGUGCCAGCAGCCGCGGUAAUACGUAGGUGGCAAGCGUUGUCCGGAAUUAUUGGGCGUAAAGCGCGCGCAGGCGGGAUAUCAAGUCUGUCUUAAAAGUGCGAGGCUCAACCUCGUGAGGGGACAGAAACUGGUAUUCUUGAGUGUCGGAGAAGAAAGUGGAAUUCCAAGUGUAGCGGUGAAAUGCGUAGAGAUUUGGAAGAACACCAGUGGCGAAGGCGACUUUCUGGACGAUGUCUGACGCUGAGGCGCGAAAGCUAGGGGAGCGAACGGGAUUAGAAACCCGGGUAGUCC
This 450-nucleotide ribosomal RNA is filed under the name uncultured bacterium. RNAcentral describes it as "partial 16S ribosomal RNA". It matches the Rfam family "Bacterial small subunit ribosomal RNA", at positions 354 to 796 of the family's 1533-position model. The record is from RNAcentral.